Long non-coding RNA from Etheostoma spectabile (orangethroat darter), 387 nucleotides. RefSeq lists it as uncharacterized. The transcript is spliced from 3 exons. NCBI's taxonomy places the organism in Eukaryota, Metazoa, Chordata, Actinopteri, Perciformes, Percidae. The record is from RefSeq and is a predicted model, not a curated record.
UCAACCAGCAAACAGCAACAGGUGGAAUCAGAGAGCAUCCCAGCUUCAACCACCGCAGUCAGGUCAAAUCUACAGCGGACGAAACCUUGAAGCACAUCCCAAAAUAAUAAUGAAGAUCUUUGUCAUCCUCCUUCUGUGUUUUGGUAACCACAGCUGCAGAGACAACCACAGCUCCUUCAACAACAACCGCAGCUGCUCUAACAACAACAGCAGCUCCAACAACAACCAUAGCUGCUCCAACAACAACAGCUGAGGCAGCGACAACCACAGCUGUAGCGACAACAACAACAGCUGCUCCAACAACCAAAGCAGCUCCACCAGCGACAACAACAGCUGCAACAGCGACAACCACAACUGCUCCAACAACAACAGCUGCAGCAGCAACAA